GAUUUACUUCGGUAAUGACGUUAGGAAAGCGAGCGGCGGAUGGGUGAGUAACACGUGGGGAACCUGCCCCAUAGUCUGGGAUACCACUUGGAAACAGGUGCUAAUACCGGAUAAGAAAGCAGAUCGCAUGAUCAGCUUUUAAAAGGCGGCGUAAGCUGUCGCUAUGGGAUGGCCCCGCGGUGCAUUAGCUAGUUGGUAAGGUAAAGGCUUACCAAGGCGAUGAUGCAUAGCCGAGUUGAGAGACUGAUCGGCCACAUUGGGACUGAGACACGGCCCAAACUCCUACGGGAGGCAGCAGUAGGGAAUCUUCCACAAUGGACGCAAGUCUGAUGGAGCAACGCCGCGUGAGUGAAGAAGGUUUUCGGAUCGUAAAGCUCUGUUGUUGGUGAAGAAGGAUAGAGGUAGUAACUGGCCUUUAUUUGACGGUAAUCAACCAGAAAGUCACGGCUAACUACGUGCCAGCAGCCGCGGUAAUACGUAGGUGGCAAGCGUUGUCCGGAUUUAUUGGGCGUAAAGCGAGCGCAGGCGGAAGAAUAAGUCUGAUGUGAAAGCCCUCGGCUUAACCGAGGAACUGCAUCGGAAACUGUUUUUCUUGAGUGCAGAAGAGGAGAGUGGAACUCCAUGUGUAGCGGUGGAAUGCGUAGAUAUAUGGAAGAACACCAGUGGCGAAGGCGGCUCUCUGGUCUGCAACUGA
Molecule: ribosomal RNA, 694 nt
Filed under: uncultured bacterium
Lineage: Bacteria
Description: bacterial SSU rRNA
Rfam family: Bacterial small subunit ribosomal RNA
Source: RNAcentral